GAUGAACGCUGGCGGCGUGCUUAACACAUGCAAGUCGAGCGAGUGAGUUCUUCGGAACGAUCUAGCGGCGGACGGGUGAGUAACACGUGGGCAACCUGCCUCAUAGAGGGGAAUAGCCUCCCGAAAGGGAGAUUAAUACCGCAUAACAUCGUUGAAGGGCAUCCUUCGAUGAUCAAAGGAGAAAUCCGCUAUGAGAUGGGCCCGCGGCGCAUUAGCUAGUUGGUGAGGUAACGGCUCACCAAGGCGACGAUGCGUAGCCGACCUGAGAGGGUGAUCGGCCACAUUGGGACUGAGACACGGCCCAGACUCCUACGGGAGGCAGCAGUGGGGAAUAUUGCACAAUGGGGGAAACCCUGAUGCAGCAACACCGCGUGAGUGAUGACGGCCUUCGGGUUGUAAAGCUCUGUCUUUGGGGACGAUAAUGACGGUACCCAAGGAGGAAGUCACGGCUAACUACGUGCCAGCCGCCGCGGUAA
This 476-nucleotide ribosomal RNA is filed under the name uncultured bacterium. RNAcentral describes it as "partial 16S ribosomal RNA". It matches the Rfam family "Bacterial small subunit ribosomal RNA", at positions 28 to 523 of the family's 1533-position model. The record is from RNAcentral.